GUGAAGGCUUCCGUCCCUGGAGAGGAGGCGGCGCGCUGUAUCGGCCUUCGUCCUCCGCGGGUGUGCUAGCGUUGGGACGGUCCUUUGUUGCCGCGAGGGGUAGGAGUGGGCGUGGCGGAGCCAGCUCCGUCCGGAACACUCCCGGGCCGACCCGACUCGCUCAUCCUGCAGGAGCUGCGGCGCCAAGAUGAGUGGAGAGGAGAACCCAGCCAGCAAGCCCACGCCGGUGCAGGACGUACAGGGCGACGGGCGCUGGAUGUCCCUGCACCAUCGGUUCGUGGCUGACAGCAAAGAUAAGGAACCCGAAGUCGUCUUCAUCGGGGACUCCUUGGUCCAGCUCAUGCACCAGUGCGAGAUCUGGCGCGAGCUCUUCUCUCCUCUGCAUGCACUUAACUUUGGCAUUGGUGGUGACGGCACACAGCAUGUACUGUGGCGGCUGGAGAAUGGGGAGCUGGAACACAUCCGGCCCAAGGUGAGCAGGGCUCGGGUGGGGCUCUAAAACAUCUUUUGGCUGCCGCCUCACCGCUGCUUCAUGUCUCUUUUUCCACAGAUUGUGGUGGUCUGGGUGGGCACCAACAACCACGGACACACAGCAGAGCAGGUGACUGGCGGCAUCAAGGCCAUUGUGCAACUGGUGAAUGAGCGACAGCCCCAGGCCCGGGUUGUGGUGCUGGUGAGAGGCUGGGAGAGUGGGAAAGGAAGAAUGGCAGUGGUCUGGGACCCCCU
Molecule: small RNA, 726 nt
Filed under: Pan troglodytes (chimpanzee)
Lineage: Eukaryota; Metazoa; Chordata; Mammalia; Primates; Hominidae
Description: retained intron
Source: RNAcentral